This 425-nucleotide ribosomal RNA is filed under the name uncultured bacterium. RNAcentral's name for it is "partial 16S ribosomal RNA". It matches the Rfam family "Bacterial small subunit ribosomal RNA", at positions 354 to 796 of the family's 1533-position model. The record is from RNAcentral.
GUGGGGAAUAUUGGACAAUGGGCGCAAGCCUGAUCCAGCCAUGCCGCGUGAGUGAUGAAGGCCCUAGUGUUGUAAAGCUCUUUCACCGGUGAAGAUAAUGACGGUAACCGGAGAAGAAGCCCCGGCUAACUUCGUGCCAGCAGCCGCGGUAAUACGAAGGGGGCUAGCGUUGUUCGGAAUUACUGGGCGUAAAGCGCACGUAGGCGGGUAUUUAAGUCAGGGGUGAAAUCCCGGAGCUCAACUCCGGAACUGCCUUUGAUACUGGGUACCUAGAGUAUGGAAGAGGUAAGUGGAAUUCCGAGUGUAGAGGUGAAAUUCGUAGAUAUUCGGAGGAACGCCAGUGGCGAAGGCGGCUUACUGGUCCAUUACUGACGCUGAGGUGCGAAAGCGUGGGGAGCAAACAGGAUUAGAAACCCCGGUAGUCC